Molecule: ribosomal RNA, 517 nt
Filed under: uncultured bacterium
Lineage: Bacteria
Description: bacterial SSU rRNA
Rfam family: Bacterial small subunit ribosomal RNA
Source: RNAcentral
AGAGUUGAUCAUGGCUCAGGAUGAACGCUAGCGACAGGCUAACACAUGCAAGUCGAGGGGCAGCACGGGAGUAGCAAUACAACUGGUGGCGACCGGCGCACGGGUGAGUAACGCGUAUGCAACCUACCUAUCAGAGGGGAAUAACCCGGCGAAAGUCGGACUAAUACCGCAUAAAACAGGGGCACCGCAUGGUGAUAUUUGUUAAAGAAAUUCGCUGAUAGAUGGGCAUGCGUUCCAUUAGGUAGUUGGUGAGGUAACGGCUCACCAAGCCGACGAUGGAUAGGGGAACUGAGAGGUUGGUCCCCCACACUGGUACUGAGACACGGACCAGACUCCUACGGGAGGCAGCAGUGAGGAAUAUUGGUCAAUGGGCGGGAGCCUGAACCAGCCAAGUCGCGUGAAGGAAGAAGGAUCUAUGGUUCGUAAACUUCUUUUGCAGGGGAAUAAAGUGCAGGACGUGUCCUGUUUUGUAUGUACCCUGAGAAUAAGGAUCGGCUAACUCCGUGCCAGCCGCAGC